AUUGAACGCUGGCGGCAUGCCUUACACAUGCAAGUCGAACGGUAACGCGGGGCAACCUGGCGACGAGUGGCGAACGGGUGAGUAGUGCAUCGGAACGUGCCCAAUAGUGGGGGAGUAGCCCGGCGAAAGCCGGAUUAAUACCGCAUACGACCUAUGGGUGGAAAGACGGGGGAGUCGCAAGACCUCGCGCUAUUGGAGCGGCCGAUGUCAGAUUAGGUAGUUGGCGGGGUAAAGGCCCACCAAGCCUGCGAUCUGUAGCUGGUCUGAGAGGACGACCAGCCACACUGGGACUGAGACACGGCCCAGACUCCUACGGGAGGCAGCAGUGGGGAAUUUUGGACAAUGGGGGUAACCCGUAAUCCAGCCAUGCCGCGUGCGGGAAGAA
RNAcentral lists this ribosomal RNA (385 nucleotides) under uncultured bacterium. RNAcentral describes it as "bacterial SSU rRNA". It matches the Rfam family "Bacterial small subunit ribosomal RNA", at positions 29 to 412 of the family's 1533-position model. The record is from RNAcentral.